This is an RNA transcript of Pezoporus flaviventris, 750 nucleotides long. It is a transcript of the gene named F-box protein 48, with no coding region annotated. Lineage: Eukaryota; Metazoa; Chordata; Aves; Psittaciformes; Psittacidae. The transcript is spliced from 3 exons. The record is from RefSeq and is a predicted model, not a curated record.
CGCGCCCCGGAGAUGGACGGGGAACGCGCUGCCGCCGACGGACCCGCGCUCCUCCCCUCCGGCCGAGGAGGGGGAGGCCCGGCUGACUUCGUGGCUCUCCUCCCAGCGGAGGUCAGCUCCCGGAUUUUCAGCGACCUCGACGUUGAGAGCUUGUGUCACGCGUCCGCGACAUGCAAGGGCUGGCACCGCGUCAUCGAGAGCAACGACCGCCUAUGGAGACACCACUGCCUGAGCGUGCGGGCUGUGUGCCAGCGGGAGAUCGACUGCGACCGAGGAAACGGAUAUUCCUGGAAGAUCACGUUACUGAGAAACUACUGGAAAAGCAAAGUGAAGCAAGAAUGGCUGAGUGGGAAAUACAGCAACAUUCCUUCACGGAACAGCUUGCCAGAGAAAAGCAUGUAUCCCAUGGACGUUGACACAUGGGGAGAAAUCCUGGAAGCAGAACUUGAGAGAUGAAAAACCAGUGCUUGUUCUAGCAACUUAAGAACCUUCUAUCAACAACUCACAGACUGCCAAACUGCAAAGGAGCCACUGCUUGCAGAUGUGGAAGCAUCAACUGCAGAGGUUGCUUUGUGGCUGAGAUGCCAGACACUUGAAGCUCUACACAAAGACUUCUCCAGAUGCCACAGGACACCAUCAGCCAUCAGAUGAAGUAUUAGCCCUAGCACUAAAUAUUGCUUUUAAAUGUCUGAGUGAUCUCAGAACACCAAGCAGAAAACACCACAAGAUGCUACCAGCCACCUAUUGGAG